GUAACAUUUUACCUUAGGCCUAACUCUAAACUAAACCUAAAGUCUGGAUGGAUGAUAGGAAUAAUCUUUAACAAUGAUGUUAAUCCAGGAUCAAAACUGAGAUUUCUGGGUCACCAGCUCUGGAGGAUAUUGGGAUUUUCAUUUGGCCUUGGACACUGAUGAGGCAGCUAGUGAGGCAAACAUGUUGGAGUGGUUCAGGUCUUCAAACAUGCUGAAGUCAGUUUGAUCAUACUUUGAUCAUAGCGUAAUUAGCCCACCCUCGCUGUCUCUGUUAACUCCGCCUUCCUGUCAGUGGACUAGACUCAGUGGCUCGGAUAUGAAAGAUGGCUCCUCGCUGACUAUGAAAAACUCUCUCUCUGACAGCAUUUGCUGAAGAAUAUAGGAGCUGAUGACAGAUAGAGUCACAUCAUUUCUCUGAGUAAUGCUUCCUGCCGCAGCUGAUUCAGACUGAGCAGCGUGUCAAAUCACAGACUUUUCUAACAGACUGGCGUAUUGUGCCUGUCAUCGCUUUGGAAUUCUGAGUGUAAGCAACCUGGGAAUCUCUGAGCUGAUGUUUCAUUUUGAUUCACUUUCUUACGGGCAAAAGUCUUGGACUGUGGAAUAUGUUGUUUAACACUUGAUGUGCACUUCCUGGUGUUCCAGCAUGUUACAUCAUUCAUUCUUAGAUCAUAGUGAAACCAUAGUAUGUUUUUUUUUUUUUAUAUUGCACUUCACAGUACUUCACUUGUAAUGCAUUUUGAAACUCAGUUCGCCCUUUUUACAGGAAAUGUGUCAUCUUGUGUUCAAAUUAGAAAGUUACUGCAGAGAUUUCAUCAUAUUUUCCCACCUCAGGCCCAAAGUAUCAGGGUAGUAGCCAGCACAGAAAAAGAGAGAUCACAGUUU
This is a long non-coding RNA of Cyprinus carpio carpio, 882 nucleotides long. Lineage: Eukaryota; Metazoa; Chordata; Actinopteri; Cypriniformes; Cyprinidae. The record is from Ensembl.